This 299-nucleotide ribosomal RNA is filed under the name uncultured eukaryote. RNAcentral describes it as "partial 18S ribosomal RNA". It matches the Rfam family "Eukaryotic small subunit ribosomal RNA", at positions 1470 to 1796 of the family's 1831-position model. The record is from RNAcentral.
CCCUUAGAUGUUCGGAGCUGCACGCGCGCUACACUGAAGGAAGCAGCGUGUUAGAGCGCCUGGCUUGAAAGAGUUGGGUAAUCCGGUGAAUGUCCUUCGUGAUUGGGAUAGGGACUUGUAAUUAUUUCCCUUGAACGAGGAAUACCUAGUAAGUGCGAGUCAUCAGCUUGCGCUGACUACGUCCCUGCCCCUUGUACACACCGCCCGUCGUUUCUUCCGACUGAUAUUCAAUGUGAAUUGCGAGGAGUUCUGCGAAUCGCCGUAAACAUUGAAUAUUGGAGGAAGAAAAAGUCGUAACA